This 65-nucleotide transfer RNA is filed under the name Echmepteryx hageni. RNAcentral's name for it is "tRNA-Ile". The record is from RNAcentral. Lineage: Eukaryota; Metazoa; Arthropoda; Insecta; Psocodea; Lepidopsocidae.
AAUAAAAUGCCUGAAAAAGGAUUAUCUUGAUAGGAUAAAUCAUGUAUAUAAAAUAUACUUUUAUU